GACGAACGCUGGCGGCGUGCUUAACACAUGCAAGUCGAACGGAAAGGCCCUGCUUUUGUGGGGUGCUCGAGUGGCGAACGGGUGAGUAACACGUGAGUAACCUGCCUUUGACUUUGGGAUAACUUCAGGAAACUGGGGCUAAUACCGGAUAGGAGCUCCUGCUGCCUGGUGGGGGUUGGAAAGUUUCGGCGGUUGGGGAUGGACUCGCGGCUUAUCAGCUUGUUGGUGGGGUAGUGGCUUACCAAGGCUUUGACGGGUAGCCGGCCUGAGAGGGUGACCGGCCACAUUGGGACUGAGAUACGGCCCAGACUCCUACGGGAGGCAGCAGUGGGGAAUAUUGCACAAUGGGCGGAAGCCUGAUGCAGCAACGCCGCGUGCGGGAUGACGGCCUUCGGGUUGUAAACCGCUUUCGCCUGUGACGAAGCGUGAGUGACGGUAAUGGGUAAAGAAGCACCGGCUAACUACGUG
Molecule: ribosomal RNA, 468 nt
Filed under: uncultured bacterium
Lineage: Bacteria
Description: partial 16S ribosomal RNA
Rfam family: Bacterial small subunit ribosomal RNA
Source: RNAcentral